This 502-nucleotide ribosomal RNA is filed under the name uncultured bacterium. Its description in RNAcentral is "bacterial SSU rRNA". It matches the Rfam family "Bacterial small subunit ribosomal RNA", at positions 791 to 1301 of the family's 1533-position model. The record is from RNAcentral.
UAGUCCACGCCGUAAACGAUGGACACUAGUUGUUGGGCAUUAGCUCAGUGACUAAGCGAAAGUGAUAAGUGUCCCACCUGGGGAGUACGAUCGCAAGAUUGAAACUCAAAGGAAUUGACGGGGGCCCGCACAAGCGGUGGAGCAUGUGGUUUAAUUCGAUGAUACGCGAGGAACCUUACCAGGGCUUAAAUGUAGUCUGACAGCUUUAGAGAUAGAGUUUUCUUCGGACAGAUUACAAGGUGCUGCAUGGUUGUCGUCAGCUCGUGCCGUGAGGUGUCAGGUUAAGUCCUAUAACGAGCGCAACCCCUGUCGUUAGUUGCCAGCAAGUAAAGUUGGGGACUCUAACGAGACUGCCUACGCAAGUAGAGAGGAAGGUGGGGAUGACGUCAAAUCAUCACGGCCCUUACGUCCUGGGCCACACACGUGCUACAAUGGUAUGGACAAUGAGAUGCAAACCUGUGAAGGCUAGCCAAUCUAUAAACUCGUUCUAAGUUCGGAUUGU